GAUGAACGCUAGCUACAGGCUUAACACAUGCAAGUCGAGGGGCAUCAGGAAGAAAGCUUGCUUUCUUUGCUGGCGACCGGCGCACGGGUGAGUAACACGUAUCCAACCUGCCCUUUACUCGGGGAUAGCCUUUCGAAGGAAAGAUUAAUACCCGAUAGCAUAAUGAUUCCGCAUGGUUUCAUUAUUAAAGGAUUCCGGUAAAGGAUGGGGAUGCGUUCCAUUAGGUUGUUGGUGAGGUAACGGCCCACCAAGCCUUCGAUGGAUAGGGGUUCUGAGAGGAAGGUCCCCCACAUUGGAACUGAGACACGGUCCAAACUCCUACGGGAGGCAGCAGUGAGGAAUAUUGGUCAAUGGGCGCUAGCCUGAACCAGCCAAGUAGCGUGAAGGAUGAAGGCUCUAUGGGUCGUAAACUUCUUUUAUAUAAGAAUAAAGUGCAGUAUGUAUACUGUUUUGUAUGUAUUAUAUGAAUAAGGAUCGGCUAACUCCGUGCCAGCAGCCGCGGUAAUACGGAGGAUCCGAGCGUUAUCCGGAUUUAUUGGGUUUAAAGGGAGCGUAGGUGGACUGGUAAGUCAGUUGUGAAAGUUUGCGGCUCAACCGUAAAAUUGCAGUUGAUACUGUCAGUCUUGAGUACAGUAGAGGUGGGCGGAAUUCGUGGUGUAGCGGUGAAAUGCUUAGAUAUCACGAAGAACUCCGAUUGCGAAGGCAGCUCACUGGACUGCAACUGACACUGAUGCUCGAAAGUGUGGGUAUCAAACAGGAUUAGAUACCCUGGUAGUCCACACAGUAAACGAUGAAUACUCGCUGUUUGCGAUAUACAGUAAGCGGCCAAGCGAAAGCAUUAAGUAUUCCACCUGGGGAGUACGCCGGCAACGGUGAAACUCAAAGGAAUUGACGGGGGCCCGCACAAGCGGAGGAACAUGUGGUUUAAUUCGAUGAUACGCGAGGAACCUUACCCGGGCUUAAAUUGCAGUGGAAUGAUGUGGAAACAUGUCAGUGAGCAAUCACCGCUGUGAAGGUGCUGCAUGGUUGUCGUCAGCUCGUGCCGUGAGGUGUCGGCUUAAGUGCCAUAACGAGCGCAACCCUUAUCUUCAGUUACUAACAGGUCAUGCUGAGGACUCUGGAGAGACUGCCGUCGUAAGAUGUGAGGAAGGUGGGGAUGACGUCAAAUCAGCACGGCCCUUACGUCCGGGGCUACACACGUGUUACAAUGGGGGGUACAGAAGGCAGCUAGCGGGUGACCGUAUGCUAAUCCCAAAAUCCUCUCUCAGUUCGGAUCGAAGUCUGCAACCCGACUUCGUGAAGCUGGAUUCGCUAGUAAUCGCGCAUCAGCCACGGCGCGGUGAAUACGUUCCCGGGCCU
RNAcentral lists this ribosomal RNA (1359 nucleotides) under uncultured bacterium. RNAcentral's name for it is "bacterial SSU rRNA". It matches the Rfam family "Bacterial small subunit ribosomal RNA", at positions 28 to 1381 of the family's 1533-position model. The record is from RNAcentral.